UACGGGGGGGGUAAGCGUUGUUCGGAAUUACUGGGCGUAAAGGGCUCGUAGGCGGCCAACUAAGUCAGACGUGAAAUCCCUCAGCUUAACUGGGGAACUGCGUCUGAUACUGGAUGGCUUGGAUUCGGGAGAGGAAUGCGGAAUUCCAGGUGUAGCGGUGAAAUGCGUAGAUAUCUGGAGGAACACCGGUGGCGAAGGCGGCAUUCUGGACCGACACUGACGCUGAGGAGCGAAAGCCAGGGGAGCAAACAGG
Molecule: ribosomal RNA, 253 nt
Filed under: uncultured bacterium
Lineage: Bacteria
Description: partial 16S ribosomal RNA
Rfam family: Bacterial small subunit ribosomal RNA
Source: RNAcentral